UCUUAAACCUAAUUAUAUGUUAAUAUUGAUUUCCAUAUGCUAGAAUUAGGGUUUAUAGUCUUGGAUUCAAAGCAUGUACAAUAGAGAAACCUAGAUCCAAGCAUUAGGGUUUGUAUGAGCACAUAGGAUGUCUUAUGACCAAAACCCAUCAGUGGUAUCAGAGCCUUGAUUGGUUUCUAUUGUAUUGAUGCUUGAUAUGUUUGAAAAUUUCGAAUUUUGUGUUUCUGGAGGAUGAACUCGCCGAGUCCAUAGAUGAACUCGCCGAGUCCAUGCUGACUCGACGAGUCCAUGCCUGACUCGGCGAGUCGGCUCGUCAGAAGGAGGGAAAACCGGGAUUUCUUGCUGUUUUUGCUUAAGGAUAGUUGCCUUAUCAUAUUAGAUCAAUAUAAAUCCGAUUUUAUGAUAUAUAUGACUAUAUUCUUGAUCUAAUUGAAGAUAUUUAUCAAUUAAUAAAAUAUUUGUUUCCUUAUGUGAUAAUUGAUUAAUUAUUUUGAUUAAAUUGAUAAAUUGUUUUGCAAGAAAUCAUUAAAUAAAUCAAAUAUGGAUAAUUAUGUGAUUAAAUGUUAAUUUAGAUUAUUUGUUAUUUGAUCCUUGUUGUUAUGAAAAGUUUCAUAUUUUCCCCUUUAGGUUUUAUAGUUUAAAUUUGAACCCAAAAGUUUUGUUGUUUUGAAAUUUAAAUAGUUGAAACCCUAAUGUUUUGAAAAAGGUUUCAAAACUUGCCCUCAAGUUUUGGAAUUUAAAUUUUGAUUAAAUAGUUUAAUUUUGAUGUAUAUUUAAAUUCUAAACCCUAAUGUGUUGAAAUGUUUCAAAACUUGCCCUCAAGUUUUGGAAUUUAAAAGUUGAUUAAAAGUUUAAUUAGGAAUGUUAAAUUCUAAAACUCUAGUAUAGUUUUGAAAAAGUUCAAAUCACACCCUUAUGGUUUUAUUAAUUAAUUAAGGUGUAUAAUUAAAAGAGGUUUAAUAAAUCCAUAAAAGUUUAGGUUUACAAUUUAAUUGAAUUAAAAGUAUAAUUGUUAAAUUUGACCACCUAGUAUUUUAAAAGUGUAAAAUACACCCUAUACUAUAUAUAACAUUAAAAGUCUAACAUUAUAUAUAUGUAUGAGUAAAAGUCAGUCUUACCGUUAGUAGGCCUCAUUCACGAAGCUGGUCUAUAAGGGGUGUUUAAGGAAAUUGCCUAUAAAAUGGCGAUUGAAUGGGUAUCCACUCUUACCCACCGCACUCUUGACUAGUGGAGGGUCGUUAGCCGAACGGGUAGGAUAGGACGAAACCUUCCAUUAUAAGUAUAAUGAAGUAUAAAAGUAACUAAAUGUUUUCAUAAAAUUCCCAAUCUUAGUUACUUAGGCAAAAGUGAAUUGAUGCAAUUCCAUGAAAUUACACUUUGUGCCCUUGCGAAGACGUUAGUGGAGCGUGUGUGGUUUACCGGCACACUAAAUGGUUCUAAGCAAAGGUAGCAAAGGGUGACUCAAUGUUUGUCAUAGUUCGGUGGAGCGUGUGUGGUUUACCGGCACAUCGAAUAGGUGACUGUAACAUGUGAGGGCACCAUGUAAGUUUGCAUGGUUAUUCACACCCGCUUUGUGAUCCUCGGCAUCCCAGUCACAAACAAGAGGGGCAUAUCGAGAUUUAAACAUGCCAUUGAAAAGUUCAAUGAAUCUCAAAGGAUCUAGGAGUUUUCAUAGAUUUAAAACUUAAAUUUCUUUUUCGUUUUUCAUGGUGGAAAUUAGUGAAUCGUCAUUCACUUACCUUCAAAUGUUCUGCAAUUUGGGUUACGGCAUCCCUCUCCCGAGUUGUAGAAUAUUGUGUUGGGUCCUAGCCUUAGUAUCUCAUUUGGGUGAUUUACUAAGGACUCAAUCAAUCAACUAACUUGAAUUCGUUUUCUCCCGUUUUGUAGAUGUCAAAGUUCGACAACUAUGGUCUUCCCAAAUCCCGUGGAACAAGCUUUCCACAUGAAGAUGAUAUUCCACGAUUCGAUCGAGGAACAAGAAAUCAUGCUUCACUUCCUCCACCUCCUCCAAUUAUUCUCCCUAACCCACAAGUUCAAAGGCUUGAAAAGUUCAAGAUCACUCAAGCCCUUUUGGCAAGUAAACAUAAAGAAGGAAAGUCGGUGUGUGCACACGUCCUAGGGAUGAAGUCACACAUUGAUAGGUUAAGAAUGUUGGGAUCCGUUGUCUGUGAGGAAAUGGCUGUUGAUUGGGUUCUUCAGUCACUUCCUAACUCAUAUAGUGAGUUCGUAAGAGAGUACUAUAUGAUGAACCGCGACGUGACCCUUAUAGAUCUCACCUAUAUGCUUAUUGCUGCUGAAUCAGCAAUGGUUUGGCGCAAUAGAAAAGCAAAGUUGAUUGGUGAAUCUGCCUUCAAGACCUCUAUGGAUAUAGACAAUGGCAACGAAAGACAUGCUAUGAUCGAAAAGUUUGAUCAUAAGAGAAAGGCAAUGUCUGAAGUAGUUCCAUGUCAUGUUCCAAAAGAGUCAAUUUGCUUUUAUUGCCAAGAGAAAGGGCAUUGGAGACGAAGCUGCCCCAUUUACCUAAGAGAUCUAAGAGAUGGGAGAGUCGAAACGUAUGGCUCUAAUAUAGGUAAAAUCCAUUAACUAACUCUUUUAAGCUUCUAUUCUAGAUUCUUAAUACAUAAUGUGAUAAGAUUACAAUUGAUGUUUUGUAGGAUCGAAGAAAAGAAAGGAAGCUUAAGGGAAGAAGUGAGCAGAAUCUAACCGUGAAGGAAUGGAUUUCGAUCGCAUUUCUCGAAGAUUAGAUUCUUGAGCUACUACUUAGAGUUAGAAUUAGAUUGCUAAGAAAGAUGUAUUAGCAUAGUUUUUCAAUGAAUUGCAUUGUAAGGACAAAAUUUUUCCGCAAUAAAAUAAAUUUUGAUUUUAUAUUAUUUAUUUAUCCUUGCAAUGGCGUAUAUGAAAAAUUGAUGUUUGAAUGUUUCUAUUAUUAGCAAUAAUGGAUUUGGUUCUUAUUAUGUUAUUUAUGGAAAGUCGAGAAUUUACCAAAUAGGGAGAGUUUCUCAUCGCCCAAGUUUCAAUUGGACAGAAACUUGGAAUCAUGCAACUUGGUUGCACGAUGAAUGAGAAAUUUCAUAUUUGGAAAUUAGACUAAUUCAUUGACAAAGUGUCAAGUGAAGGACUAGGAGAUCGAGUACACAAAGUUGCGUGUUGAUCAAGUCCACCAUAAGAGUAACAAAGAUAUUCGUCAUGAUUUACUAAAGGUUUAGUAAAUAUGAUUAUACUUAUAAGAUUAAGUGUAAUUCUGAAUUGAUUUAAAAGGUUUAAAUCAAUAGCAGAACGAAUAAGAAGAAUCAAGUAGGCAGAAAGAUAAAAGUUUCUCCAUUCUAAGAAGAAGGGAGAGUACCUUUUAUGCUUUAUGAUAGGUCUUAAUGAUUAAGAACCAUAUCUCAAUUGAUCCUCUAAGUGAGUCUUAGUACAAUUGUAUGUCUAAGAAGAGGAAUCAAGAAUUGAAGAAAUGGUUAAAUCAAGAAGUCAAUCAUACUUCGUUCCAAAACAAGUCUUAGAGUUAAGAUUGUGACAUUGAGUGAUAAGUAUUAAGAAGGUUUAUAACAUUCAUUAAAUGUGGAAAGUUGUGAUGUCUUGGAUAAGACAAAGACCAACUAGGACCAAUUUAUGAAGUGUUUUGAUAAAAGCUACACUAACUCUUGAAUAUUUGUUUGUCAAGAAAUGUUUUUUGACAAGAGAAUCUUAUAUGUCAAGGAGUCAGUGGGAGUCUUAAUGGUCUUGAAAGGUUUCAAGAACAAAUCAAAUAAACCUUAUCGAUCAUCACUAGCACACGAGUUGAGGUUUACAACCUAUCGUGUUGACAUUAUUUUGAUUCUGUGCCAAUCCAAUCGAGUUAAUUAUGCAUGUGAGUUCUAUGAGUUCUCAUUUUGAACGCAUAAAAGGCAAAGCACCUUAAUCAAUGAAAGGUACAUUGAUAGGAAAGGGUGAGCUGCUUAACUACUUGGAAGACAUGGUGGGCAGCUGUGCUACCAUAAAGGCAAGAAAUCGAGAUCAAGAAAGUUCGAUCCAUAAGAGUUUGAAUUUGUCGUAAACUUUGGUUUUGACAAAUUCACAUGGAUAGGAACAAAUACACUGUUUAAAUCUAAGUGUCAUAAGAUUUCCUCCUUCAUGAAAAUGAUUGUGAGGAAAUGCUUUCACUAAGACAGAUUUUAAGAAGAUAGUGAUUGUAAAAUUGCAUUCUCGAAUUCAAUUAUGGUUACGGCAUCCCUUUCCAUAAUUUGAAUUGUGAGGUUUGGCAAUUAGUCUUAAUUGUUUAGACACACAUAUGAACUAUCGAAGGCAAAUGUGUAUAAGUUCAAGAAACCUUGAUAAAAGAUUAUCAAAGCACUAAGUAUUAGAAACAUGAACUUAAGAAAUUCAAUAAGCAUUUUUUUUCUGAAAGUUAAGAUGUUUAUGAAUACAUGUCGAAGCUAGUGGGAGCAUAAGUGUUAUGUUUUAUAAUAAUCAUCAAGAUAGUGGGAGCAUAAAAGUUAUGAUUGUAUGAUUAUUAAGGAAAGUAUUGCAAGGUUAGCAAUAUUAAUUAUAGAAAACAAGAGUCAUACUUUGCAAAGUCGCAAUAGUUGAAGAGUUGUUUUGCUAUAAUUAAGGGAGAGAAUAUUAUGCUUCAUUUCAAAUCUAAAGGUUUAGGUUGAGAAAUGUUAAUAAAAUUUAGUCAAAGGUACAAAGUGUGUUCUUAAAAUUUCGAUUAUGAUUACGGCAUCCCUCUUCACAAUUCGAAUUUUGAGAACAUAGCAAAUAAAACAUUAUGCGUCGUGUCCCAUACGCUUCGGGUAUAGGAUCGAUUGCAAAUGCUUUAAUGUUUGACCAUUCUAAAAUUUUCCAAAUGUCGAGCGCAUUUAGAGGGAAAAGGGACUAGAAUUGGUUUUGACUAAAAUAAUUAAACAACUAUCAAAGGACAAUCCAAAGUUCGACGAGGAUUGGUCGCUUGUGAGUAGUUGGAAGUAUAGUAUUGGAAAAUAUGGAAAUGUUUCCAUAUUGGAUGGACCAUAUCGACAUCAUUACGAAUAGAUAAGAUUCUAUUAAGAAUGAGUUGUCAUAUGGAACAUAUGGAAGUGUGUCCAUAUUGGGAAUUGAAUAUUGAGAAAUCUAUGACUAGAUUAGAAACUUCUAUGCAAAAGGAUGUUCAAAGAAUGUACUUUGAGUGAGAGACAUCACAUCUAUGGAAUUGUCUUGUAACAAUCUCCGAUAGAGGACUUUGUAAUAUCAUUGGCAAUAGUCUUUGUGACUUUGGUGCAGUGACAUUACGAAAGGAUAGUUGCAUAGAAUGUUAGAAUCUAGCAUAUUCUAUAAGUAGCAAGAAUUUGAUAUUCUUUCACUUAUGAAAAAGGAUUUGGAGUUGUGAAAUGAGAAUGAUUGGAAAUGUGUUCAAUGUGAUCUAUUUCACAAAGUAAGAACCAUAGGUAAACAUUGUGUGCAUGCUAGGAGCAUGGGACAAGUGUAAUAAUUCAAGUAAGAAGUUGAUUACCCGAAACGACAAAUAAUGAGUAAUCGAUAUGGUGAUAAAUAAAAGGUGUUUUAUUUAUACUCAAAGGUUUGAGGCCAUAUGGGAUUAGUAUUAUUCUUGUGUUUCACAUUUGCAUGUUUUGACUUCCAGAAUAAUUGAGUUUAUUAAGAAUAAUCGAAUUAUUCAAACGGGCCACAGUCGUUCAUAUGUUGGAAGUAGAUAUGAAUGAAGACUGUCGUGAAUUGGUGUGUGGAUUGUCUAAAAGAGUAUUAGACAUAAGCAAAUGUUUGCUGCAACGUUCAUGAGUGCUUAUGAAUAUGAUUUGAGCAUUGGAUUAAACCCACGCUCACUUGGAUCACUCCAUGAAUUGUAUCACGAGUGAUUGGUGAGACGAUAACAUCUUAUAUUCUUGAAACCGAGAUGUGUGAGUUGUAUCUUGCAAAUCGGUUGCACAUUGAUAAUAUGUAAACGCACUAGUAACUUGGUGUUAUAAAACAUAUUGUUGUGUGUGAUUCGGUGCGUGAGUGCAAGCGAGCAUUGUAUCAAAGUUUAUCCGUUCCUUUUAUUCAAAGUAGGAUAAAAGCGAUAUCUUUGGGCCCCUCGAUGGUUUAGUGAUGACAAACGUAAAUGCUCGGCCGGGCUAGGGCUAAUUUGAUUUGUUCAAUUAGUCAGUCGUCAUAAAUCGGAAAUCGAGAUAUAGUACAAAGAGAAUGAUUUGAAAUCAUAUCUCAUAUGAUAUCUAGAAUGGAGGAAUAUAUGAUCCCUUAUCUAAGGACACGCGUAUCUGAUAGGAUCAGAGUUGACAGCGGCUUUGGAAAGCUACGAUUGCAGAUCAGGAUCUGAAGUCAUACGCAUAAUAGUUAUUAGACUUAUCCAAGUGGGAGACUGUUGGAUUAGUGUCUAAGUCCAUAACUAUUUUGGUAUGUACUUGACCCGAUGGUGCAUGGUCCUUUUGGGUUGCCUUCACCAAAGCAACUUGAUUGGAGAAAUAAAUAGAGAGAGAGGUUAUUAUGAUUUAUUAAUAUGUUAUAAAUAAUAUAUAUUAAAGGAGAAAUCAUAUUUGUUUAAUUAAUAUUGGUCAAUAAUUAAUUAAGAAUUAAUUUUGUGGUCAAGUGUAAUUAAUUAAACUAGAGGGGCUAAAUUGUAAUUAUGUGAUAGUUACAAAAUAAGGUAAAGAUUAUCUUAUAUAUAUGGUGGACGAAUUUGAAGUGAUAAUCACUUAGAAAUUGACUAUGAUAAGGAUUCAAGGAUUAUCUUAUGGGUUGCUUGGUGGAUAAGCAACUAGAUAAGGAUAAUGACUGAAACUCUAUCUUUACACCUAUAUAAACCCCCUAGGGCUUAGGAAUUCGUCUAACCCUUCCCAAGAAGUCCUAAGGACGAAUUCCUACCUCACUCCUCUGUCUUUAUACCUUCUCCACUUGCUCUUGGUGUUUGUAAGCCAUUAGAGGAGUGACACUUGUGACUCUAAGCAUUCCAAAGUCAAUUCAAGGUGGAAUUGGGAUUGUUAUUGCUACAUAACAAUCAAGGUAAUAUCUUAAACCUAAUUAUAUGUUAAUAUCGAUUUCCAUAUGUUAGAAUUAGGGUUUAUAGUCUUGGAUUCAAAGUUGUACAAUAGAGAAACCUAGAUCCAAGUAUUAGGGUUUGUAUGAGCACAUAGGAUGUCUUAUGACCAAAACCCAUCAGUAUUCUCGAACAUGUCACAAAGAAAUACCAUAAUGUAUUUCAUGCUAGAAUUUAUAUAAUGAUCCAUAAAGAUAUACAUGUAUUAUUAUUAUUAUUUUAAAGUGCAUAGAUCAUUAAUGUAUCAAAAUAAUAACACUAAACUCUUUACACAAAUGGAUGCCAUUUAAGGCUACAUAUGUCCUAUUGGUCACGACAUGAACAUAGAUUAUUCAUAUACAGUUUAAAAAAAAAGGGUUAUUAUUCGUUAAUAAUAAUAUGUACAUUAUAUUUCGUAUGAUCAAGUCAUUAUAGUGUUAGGGAAACGGUAUUAAUUUACCUUUAAAGUUGGUAAACGUACGUCAUUAUGUUUCCAAACAUCGUCAUUAGUAAACCGGUAACUAAACUUGGG
This 7520-nucleotide long non-coding RNA is filed under the name Lactuca sativa (garden lettuce). RNAcentral's name for it is "long non-coding RNA (LSAT_LNC003959)". Lineage: Eukaryota; Viridiplantae; Streptophyta; Magnoliopsida; Asterales; Asteraceae. The record is from RNAcentral.